UACGUAGGGUGCAAGCGUUGUCCGGAAUUAUUGGGCGUAAAGAGCUCGUAGGUGGCCUGUCGCGUCGGCUGUGAAAACUCGGGGCUCAACUCCGAGCUUGCAGUCGAUACGGGCAGGCUAGAGUUCGGCAGGGGAGACUGGAAUUCCUGGUGUAGCGGUGAAAUGCGCAGAUAUCAGGAGGAACACCGAUGGCGAAGGCAGGUCUCUGGGCCACUACUGACGCUGAGAAGCGAAAGCAUGGGGAGCAAACAGG
RNAcentral lists this ribosomal RNA (253 nucleotides) under uncultured bacterium. Its description in RNAcentral is "partial 16S ribosomal RNA". It matches the Rfam family "Bacterial small subunit ribosomal RNA", at positions 524 to 776 of the family's 1533-position model. The record is from RNAcentral.